UAUAUACUCCCUCCAUCCCAAAAUUCUUGUCUUAGGUUUGUCUAGAUAUGAAUGUAUAUAGUCACACUUUAGUAUUUAGAUACAUCCAUUUCUAAACAAACCCAAGAAAAGAAUUUUGAGAUGGAGGGAGUAUGUA
Molecule: non-coding RNA, 136 nt
Organism: Hordeum vulgare subsp. vulgare (domesticated barley)
Lineage: Eukaryota; Viridiplantae; Streptophyta; Magnoliopsida; Poales; Poaceae
Source: Rfam